CCUACGGGCGGCAGCAGUGGGGAAUAUUGCACAAUGGGGGAAACCCUGAUGCAGCGACGCCGCGUGAGUGAAGAAGUACUUCGGUAUGUAAAGCUCUUUCUGCAGGGAAGAAAAUGACGGUACCUGUUUAAGAAGCUCCGGCUAAAUACGUGCCAGCAGCCGCGGUAACACGGAGGGGGCAAGCGUUAUCCGGAUGUACUGGGUGGAAAGGGAGCGUAGACGGCAGGACAAGUCUGGAGUGAAAUGCCGGGGCUUAACCCCGGAACUGCAUGGGAAACUGGGCAGCUAGAGUGCAGGAGAGGUAAGUGGAAUUCCUGGUGUAGCGGUGAAAUGCGUAGAUAUUAGGAGGAACACCGGUGGCGAAGGCAGCUUACUGGACUGUAACUGACGUUGAGGCUCGAAAGCGUGGGGAGCAAACAGGAUUAGAUACCCUUGUAGUC
This 440-nucleotide ribosomal RNA is filed under the name uncultured bacterium. Its description in RNAcentral is "partial 16S ribosomal RNA". It matches the Rfam family "Bacterial small subunit ribosomal RNA", at positions 338 to 795 of the family's 1533-position model. The record is from RNAcentral.